UACCCGAAUGGGGAAACCCAGUGUGAUUCGUCACACUAUCAUUAACUGAAUCCAUAGGUUAAUGAGGCGAACCGGGGGAACUGAAACAUCUAAGUACCCCGAGGAAAAGAAAUCAACCGAGAUUCCCCCAGUAGCGGCGAGCGAACGGGGAGGAGCCCAGAGCCUGAAUCAGCAUGUGUGUUAGUGGAAGCGUCUGGAAAGGCGCGCGAUACAGGGUGACAGCCCCGUACACAAAAGCGCAUGUGCUGUGAGCUCGAUGAGUAGGGCGGGACACGUGGUAUCCUGUCUGAAUAUGGGGGGACCAUCCUCCAAGGCUAAAUACUCCUGACUGACCGAUAGUGAACCAGUACCGUGAGGGAAAGGCGAAAAGAACCCCGGCGAGGGGAGUGAAAAAGAACCUGAAACCGUGUACGUACAAGCAGUGGGAGCCC
RNAcentral lists this ribosomal RNA (431 nucleotides) under Salmonella enterica subsp. enterica serovar Senftenberg str. 316235162. RNAcentral describes it as "bacterial LSU rRNA". It matches the Rfam family "Bacterial large subunit ribosomal RNA", at positions 111 to 582 of the family's 2925-position model. The record is from RNAcentral. Lineage: Bacteria; Pseudomonadati; Pseudomonadota; Gammaproteobacteria; Enterobacterales; Enterobacteriaceae.